Rhinichthys klamathensis goyatoka is the source of this 867-nucleotide long non-coding RNA. RefSeq lists it as uncharacterized. The transcript is spliced from 2 exons. Lineage: Eukaryota; Metazoa; Chordata; Actinopteri; Cypriniformes; Leuciscidae. The record is from RefSeq and is a predicted model, not a curated record.
GAUCCCUUGGGUCAUGCUGAGAACAUGGAUACCAAUCUUGCCAUUGUCAGCCUUCCCUUCCUGUUAUUUGUUUUGACUUUCUUUAAAAACGUACUUUUUCGAACUCCUCCUAGACCAUUUGUCCGAUUUUCACCAAAUUCGAGUCAGAUCAUCUUCAGACUGAAAAAGUUAUAAAUUUCAUGUCGAAAGACGAAACUCUUUUCGUUGGCAUGACUUGUGUUCUUUGUGCUUGGCCCCGAUAAUUGCUGCUUGCUGCUAUAUUUAUUAUUGCAGUUAUAAUCAGUCUCUUAAACUCAAUAGAAUGAGAUGUAUAAACUGGGUGUGAUGCAGUUGAAGUAUUAUACACAUUUAUUGGAUACACAGAGGAACGCUCGUUAUCUUUGCAUAAUUGCAGUGGUAAAGACACAAAGGAAGCUCACACAAACUACUAACUCAUAGCAACAUAAUUUUUCUUGUACUAUCUGCAUUCCUGUCUAUGACAACCUAAAACUGAAUCCCUUGUGUUGCAGUAGCUCUUUUACACCUUUCUAGGCCCAUUUAUGCCAGUUUGUUUCAUCACACUUGUUUGCUUCUCCUUAAUAUAAGGAUGAAUCAUGUUUCUUUUUACACAGACUGUGGUAUUGAGUUGGCUGUUUUUCUUGCCAAGUUAUGACAGCAUAAUUAUUUUCCUGCUGUAUUUUGGUCAUAGUCCGUUAUAUGCAGGUCUGACUAAGAAAUAAGUUUAAGGAAUUACUUCAUCAUUGUAAUUUCAGAUACUAACUUGCUACACAAUUUAGGCAUUGCAAUUUCACUACAGCUUCAUGUGUAAAUAAUAAUGCAAUUUCAUUAUUUUAUAGAUAGUGUACAAUAAGGUUCCAAUUGUUAAAA